GACGAACGCUGGCGGCGUGCUUAACACAUGCAAGUCGAACGGAAAGGCCCUGCUUUUGUGGGGUGCUCGAGUGGCGAACGGGUGAGUAACACGUGAGUAACCUGCCCUUGACUUUGGGAUAACUUCAGGAAACUGGGGCUAAUACCGCAUAGGAGCUCCUGCUGCAUGGUGGGGGUUGGAAAGUUUCGGCGGUUGGGGAUGGACUCGCGGCUUAUCAGCUUGUUGGUGGGGUAGUGGCUUACCAAGGCUUUGACGGGUAGCCGGCCUGAGAGGGGGACCGGCCACAUGGGGACUGAGAGACGGCCCAGAAUCCUACGGGAGGCAGCAGUGGGGAAUAUUGCACAAUGGGCGGAAGCCUGAUGCAGCAACGCCGCGUGCGGGAUAACGGCCUUCGGGUUGUAAACCGCUUUCGCCUGUGACGAAGCGUGAGUGACGGUAAUGGGUAAAGAAGCACCGGCUAACUACGUG
This 468-nucleotide ribosomal RNA is filed under the name uncultured bacterium. RNAcentral describes it as "partial 16S ribosomal RNA". It matches the Rfam family "Bacterial small subunit ribosomal RNA", at positions 28 to 507 of the family's 1533-position model. The record is from RNAcentral.